Cebus imitator (Panamanian white-faced capuchin) is the source of this 151-nucleotide unclassified non-coding RNA. Its record names the gene 7SK. It matches the Rfam family "7SK RNA". Rfam says of the family: 7SK was discovered as an abundant small nuclear RNA in the mid-70s but a possible function has only recently been suggested. Two independent studies have found that 7SK RNA binds the CDK9/cyclin T complex (known as elongation factor P-TEFb). Lineage: Eukaryota; Metazoa; Chordata; Mammalia; Primates; Cebidae. The record is from Ensembl.
CCACUCCUCUGUUCAAGAAGUGGAUUGCAUGCUUGGUCAAAGAGGAUGUCCUUCCCUAAUAGAGGAGGUCCCUUCUUUGGUCAAGGGUGUAUGAGUAGCUGCACUCCCCUGCUAGAAUCUCCAGACAAGCUCUCAAGAGGCAGAGCCUAAC